Molecule: transfer RNA, 84 nt
Filed under: Schistocephalus solidus
Lineage: Eukaryota; Metazoa; Platyhelminthes; Cestoda; Diphyllobothriidea; Diphyllobothriidae
Rfam family: tRNA
About the family: Transfer RNA (tRNA) molecules are approximately 80 nucleotides in length. Their secondary structure includes four short double-helical elements and three loops (D, anti-codon, and T loops).
Source: Rfam by way of RNAcentral
GGCCCCGUAGCUUAGUUGGCUAGAGCGUUGGCUGUAACCAAAGCCUUCCCUUUGUUGAUGUGGGUUCGAAUCCCACCGAGUCCG